CGUGCUCCUUGUGGCUCUGUGUGGUUUUGGAUCCCUGUGUUUGUCGUUGGCCUGUUGAUGGACUUUUGUAUUUUGGACACUUUUCAAAGACUCAGAACCUGGACUUCAGUGGAACAGAAGAGUUUUUCAGCCUCUCUACUACGCCCCCACCCCAUCCCAGCUCAGUUAAGACUUAUAACUGGUUUAACAUUUGGUGGUUUACUUGGGAAAGUUGUUAUUAGAAUGCACAGUGAUUGAUUGAGAACAGCCAGAGUCGCACAAUUGCAACAGACCACUGUAUACAAAUACCUUAAAGUUGCAGCGUGACAAGUCAGAAUAACUUCACAAGGACGGCUGUUCACUCAGAAUGUUUCUGAAAGUUUACAAAUGUGUUGAUAAUGGUUAAUGCUGUUUUGCAAUGCACAAUGCAAAACUCAAUCUAACGCCUCAGACUGUGAGUGUCAGUGCAACGAAGCCAUGCAGGAAGACCUUAAUGCAGUGGUCACCAACCUCUUUUAGCUCGUGACCCCCCCUUUGACUUGAAAAAGCUAUAGCGAACCUACACAUCCAGCUUUUUGCUAAGAAUUCAUUUUUUUCCCCAUCAUGUAAAAGUUUUUUUUUACUGUGUUGCAAUUAAACAUUCAUCUUGCAGCACUUUCAGGCUUUUUGGUGUUUAUUAUUGUCGACAGAAGAAGAAAGGCUGGGAUGAUGUUUCUGCUCAAUGGAUGACAAUUUAGGGUUAGGGAAUUUUGAAAAAAAAUAAUCUUUGUAUCAUGAGUAGCUGAGAGCAGAGGUUUGAAACAUCCUGUCUUUUAAUCAAUGACUUCCUGACUGUCCUUUUGAUAUCCAGUCACCUGGGGGCAUCUCACUGUUUUACGAGGAGACUGUUUGACAUUAGGAGCUUAAGAUUGGAAAUGCCUGCCCUAAUGAACAUUAAAUGUGUUGGAAUAUAUGUUUAGUCAAUGGUAAACAAAGUGAUCAGAAAUAUGUGUUUCAAAAUUAAUAUGAUCCUAAAUAA
This is a non-coding RNA of Labrus bergylta (ballan wrasse), 997 nucleotides long. The record is from RefSeq and is a predicted model, not a curated record. Lineage: Eukaryota; Metazoa; Chordata; Actinopteri; Labriformes; Labridae.